This 253-nucleotide ribosomal RNA is filed under the name uncultured bacterium. Its description in RNAcentral is "partial 16S ribosomal RNA". It matches the Rfam family "Bacterial small subunit ribosomal RNA", at positions 524 to 776 of the family's 1533-position model. The record is from RNAcentral.
UACGUAUGGUGCAAGCGUUAUCCGGGUUUACUGGGUGUAAAGGGAGCGUAGGCGGCGCGUUAAGUCUGAUGUGAAAACCUGAGGCUCAACCACGGGAGUGCAUUGGAAACUGGCGUGCUGGAGUGCCGGAGAGGUAAGCGGAAUUCCUAGUGUAGCGGUGAAAUGCGUAGAUAUUAGGAGGAACACCAGUGGCGAAGGCGGCUUACUGGACGGCAACUGACGCUGAGGCUCGAAAGCGUGGGGAGCAAACAGG